This 301-nucleotide ribosomal RNA is filed under the name uncultured bacterium. RNAcentral describes it as "partial 16S ribosomal RNA". It matches the Rfam family "Bacterial small subunit ribosomal RNA", at positions 509 to 807 of the family's 1533-position model. The record is from RNAcentral.
CAGCCGCCGCGGGAAUACGUAGGUGGCAAGCGUUGUCCGGAAUUAUUGGGCGUAAAGCGCGCGCAGGUGGUUUAAUAAGUCUGAUGUGAAAGCCCACGGCUCAACCGUGGAGGGUCAUUGGAAACUGUUAAACUUGAGUGCAGGAGAGAAAAGUGGAAUUCCUAGUGUAGCGGUGAAAUGCGUAGAUAUAUGGAGGAACACCGGUGGCGAAAGCGGCUCUCUGGCUUGUAACUGACGCUGAGGCUCGAAAGCGUGGGGAGCGAACAGGAUUAGAUACCCCUGUAGUCCCUGUCUCUUAUAC